Molecule: ribosomal RNA, 253 nt
Filed under: uncultured bacterium
Lineage: Bacteria
Description: partial 16S ribosomal RNA
Rfam family: Bacterial small subunit ribosomal RNA
Source: RNAcentral
GACAGAGGGUGCAAACGUUGCUCGGAAUCACUGGGCGUAAAGGGCGUGUAGGCGGGAAGGAAAGUCGGGCGUGAAAUCCCUGGGCUCAACCCAGGAACUGCACUCGAAACUUCUUUUCUUGAGUGCCGGAGAGGAAAGCGGAAUUCCUGGUGUAGAGGUGAAAUUCGUAGAUAUCAGGAGGAACACCAGUGGCGAAGGCGGCUUUCUGGACGGUAACUGACGCUGAGACGCGAAAGCGUGGGGAGCGAACAGG